RNAcentral lists this ribosomal RNA (571 nucleotides) under uncultured Alatospora. Its description in RNAcentral is "eukaryotic LSU rRNA". The stretch from base 197 to 350 matches the Rfam family "5.8S ribosomal RNA". The record is from RNAcentral. Lineage: Eukaryota; Fungi; Ascomycota.
UCCGUAGGUGAACCUGCGGAAGGAUCAUUAUAGAGAUUGGUUGGGUAACACCUUCUAAACCUCCCACCCUUUGUUUACAUUACCUUUGUUGCUUUGGCAGGCCCGUCUUUAGACCACCGGCCUUGGCUGGUCAGCGCCUGCCAGAGGACCUAAAACUCUGUUUAAUCGUAUUGUCUGAGUACUAUAUAAUAGUUAAAACUUUCAACAACGGAUCUCUUGGUUCUGGCAUCGAUGAAGAACGCAGCGAAAUGCGAUAAGUAAUGUGAAUUGCAGAAUUCAGUGAAUCAUCGAAUCUUUGAACGCACAUUGCGCCCUCUGGUAUUCCGGGGGGCAUGCCUGUUCGAGCGUCAUUACAACCCUCAAGCCUAGCUUGGUAUUAGGCCUCACCCGUAGGGGUGUGCCGUAAAAUCAGUGGCGGUGCCAUUCGGCUUCAAGCGUAGUAAUUUUCUCGCUUUGAGGUUUGGAUGGUUACUUGCCAGCAACCCCAAUUUUUUUAUAGGUUGACCUCGGAUCAGGUAGGGAUACCCGCUGAACUUAAGCAUAUCAAUAAGCGGAGGAAAAGAAACCAACC